Molecule: ribosomal RNA, 253 nt
Filed under: uncultured bacterium
Lineage: Bacteria
Description: partial 16S ribosomal RNA
Rfam family: Bacterial small subunit ribosomal RNA
Source: RNAcentral
UACGUAGGGCGCAAGCGUUGUCCGGAAUUAUUGGGCGUAAAGAGCUCGUAGGCGGCUUGUCACGUCGGGUGUGAAAGCCCGGGGCUUAACCCCGGGUCUGCAUUCGAUACGGGCUAGCUAGAGUGUGGUAGGGGAGAUCGGAAUUCCUGGUGUAGCGGUGAAAUGCGCAGAUAUCAGGAGGAACACCCGUGGCGAAGGCGGCUCUCUGGGACGGUACCGACGCUGAGACGCGAAAGCGUGGGGAGCGAACAGG